GUUAUGUGUUCAAAUCACAUCGGGUUCAUCGAGUCCUCGUCGUCCAUUUUUAUUUUUCGGUAGUUCCUGAUUCGACAGAAUUUCAACCCUGAGAAAGAUUGUAUUUUACAUAUACAUUUUUUCCCGGAUUUUCUGUUUUAUUUCUUGUUGCCUUCUCGAAUAUCAAUGUCAUUUUUCUCUUUCUUCUGGUUGUCAAAUGCUCAUUCCGCUUGAUACACUCUAAGCAGAUUGGACUCUCAAAUGUCCGCUAGUUACUCGUUCACACCUAAAAGUAAUGAUAAUGAAUUCUACACAGGCUUGAUGGAAAAUACGAAGCUAAAUAAGCGGCCAUGUAUUCACGACAGAGAACAAAUCAAAGAUGAUUCCACCCAAAGAGGAGAAGGGCAGAUUUGAAACUUGCGAAUUGGCAUCGACAAACCGUAUAAUCGAUUUCUUAUAACACUCAGCCUGGAAAGCAAAAAUAGCUUUGUCUAUAUGGAAUAAAAAAACACUCGAUUACUGCUCCAACAUAAUGCCUCCCUCUAUUUUCCUCACACCAUGACUAUCUCACCACCCAGCUCGUGGCUCCACCUUAUUUCCCUUCCAUCGGUCCCAACAACCAGCUCGGUGUUCAUCCUCACAUCUCGGCCCUAAUGCCAACCUCUAAUAAAUAAAUCCGUUCCAUCCAUAUUGCCAGUCUCAACACAGACUUGUUCACCUGCAGAUCCGUGCCGUUGAACACGUGGCUGAAAAUAGAAUCACACGUCAAAUCCAUUCUUGCCGGGUGGCAUUUGCUAAUCAAAGUAACCGUUUCACUUAGACUAAAUGAAUGAUUGCCGAUUCGUCAAUGGCGGGACGGGAUGGUUGGAACUUCUAAAAGAGGC
Molecule: small RNA, 863 nt
Filed under: Histoplasma capsulatum var. duboisii H88
Lineage: Eukaryota; Fungi; Ascomycota; Eurotiomycetes; Onygenales; Ajellomycetaceae
Description: Histoplasma capsulatum H88 hypothetical RNA
Source: RNAcentral